This 785-nucleotide long non-coding RNA is filed under the name Salvia miltiorrhiza (redroot sage). RNAcentral's name for it is "long non-coding RNA (SMIL_LNC002528)". The record is from RNAcentral. Lineage: Eukaryota; Viridiplantae; Streptophyta; Magnoliopsida; Lamiales; Lamiaceae.
UGAGAAAGGGGACGAUAUCUGGAGCCUAGGGCUUGGGCGACUCCGUCGUUUGAAAACCGGACGGCGGUGGCUGGAUACGGGCUGCGCAGAGGGAGGCCGCAGCGCAUUCGUCGUCACCGAGGAGGAAGGCGACGCCGCCUAGAUGUGACGGCGGAGUCGGUGGUUUGGACUAGGUAGAGUGAUUGAGAGGGAGAAAAUCGGCGUCGUCCUAAACCACCAGAGGGGAAAAGGGAGAGUGAGCGGCGCAUUUGGAAGGAGGAGGAAGGUUUGGUCGGGAGAAGAAAACCGAGAGAUGUAGCAGAAGACAGAGGAAGGUUUGGGAUAGAAAAGGAACGAGGGAGAAGAUGAAGGGAGUAGCGGCGCUGAUUCAUCUUCAAACCCUAAAAUGAGAGAGUAUUUGAGCAAUGAACCCUAAAAGGGUGUAGAAGGUUCUCGAUAGGCUCUGGGCUGUAUUGAUUUAUUUUUUCUGUUUACGCUAUAAGUAUGGGAUUUGAUUUUUUUUAAUAAAUAAAUACACAUUGUAUUAACUAUGGGGUUUUUUUUUUUUUUGAGAAACACUAUGGGCUUUGGUUUUAUCAUAUUGGUGAUUUGUUCGAACAAAAUCGUACAGCAAUUAUGCAAUUAAUGCCUAAUCCAUAAUCUGAUUUCGAAAAUUGAUUUGUUUGUUAUCUAAAUUAUUAAAUUCAUAUUUAAGUGCAUGUAUUGAAGGAGUGCUCAAAAUAUUAAAUUCAUAUAAAUUAUUAUUAUAUUAGAAUAAUUAUAUUUUUUUUUCAGGGAAUAAUAAU